GAUGAACGCUGGCGGCGUGCCUAAUACAUGCAAGUCGAGCGAACAGACGAGGAGCUUGCUCCUCUGACGUUAGCGGCGGACGGGUGAGUAACACGUGGAUAACCUACCUAUAAGACUGGGAUAACUUCGGGAAACCGGAGCUAAUACCGGAUAACAUGUUGAACCGCAUGGUUCAACAGUGAAAGACGGUUUUGCUGUCACUUAUAGCUGGAUCCGCGUCGCAUUGGCUAGUUGGUAAGGUAACGGCUUACCAAGGCAACGAGGCGUAGCCGACCUGAGAGGGUGAUAGGCGACACUGGAACUGAGACACGGUCCAGACUCCUACGGGAGGCAGCAGUAGGGAAUCUUCCGCAAUGGGGGAAAGCCUGACGGAGCAACGCCGCGUGAGUGAAGAAGGUCCUCGGAUCGUAAAACCCUGUUAUGAGGGAAGAACAAAUGUGUAAGUAACUAUGCACGUCUUGACGGUACCUAAUCAGAAAGCCACGGCUAACUACGUG
This 497-nucleotide ribosomal RNA is filed under the name uncultured bacterium. Its description in RNAcentral is "partial 16S ribosomal RNA". It matches the Rfam family "Bacterial small subunit ribosomal RNA", at positions 28 to 507 of the family's 1533-position model. The record is from RNAcentral.